Molecule: long non-coding RNA, 1713 nt
Organism: Lolium rigidum
Lineage: Eukaryota; Viridiplantae; Streptophyta; Magnoliopsida; Poales; Poaceae
Exons: 3
Source: RefSeq, a predicted model, not a curated record
CAUGCUUCUCCAUCUACUCCUCCCCGUCUCAUCUUCCCUUAAUUUCUGAGAACAUAGAGAUCUUGGUCCUGGGUUGAUUCAAGACUGGUGUGAGCAGAAGCUACAUCUGUAUUCUGAAAGAGAGUUUUGGUAUAUCUAGACUUGGAUCCGUAUAUCUUCAUCGUGAAAAUCGGUGCCUAGGAAAUGAAUAUGUGCUUGAGUCGUGAUUAGAAAAGAAGCAGCUCCAUGGAUCCUCAAGUUAGUAAGCUCCUAGUUUACUAGUACUGUAGUACUAGUUUUGCGACGAGUCCUUCCAUGAUUUCCAUGAAAAUCUAGGUGCUUUCUUUUAUACUGGGGAAAAAGUAGCAUCUAUAUUCACUAUAUAUUCAAAGGCCAAGAGAAAUUGCCGACGAUACAAGCAGCAACUUGUUCAGUUAAUAUGUUCCAUACUAUAGUAGUAUUUUCCUCAUGGGAUCGAUCUGGAUUAGUAGACUUUUCUCUUGUCCAUGUUCUUGCACAUUUCAACCAUUUCCCUUUGGCUUGCACCAUUUAAUGGCUGCCAUGAAAUUUAUUAUUAAUUUCUGGAUUCAAUAUGUCACAUGAUUUGAUGAGUAUUUGUUAAGUUUUAUUAUUUUCUUACUUUAGAAAGUUUAUUAUGUAAGUUAAGUUGUUCCAUUUGUUUCAUAUACCUCCUUUUUUAUAAAUAUUAAUGUUUGUCUUUUCUUUUCUAACCAAUCUUUGAUGGCAUAAUGGCCUAUUGUCCUUGUGCAAUUUAUUUAACUUAAGCGGUUCCAUUCUUUUGCAUAAAUGGCUCAAACUUUUGCAUUCAAGGCGGCGUUGUGGCAUGGUGACUGGCUGGAUCACGCGGAGAUGAUUUGGCCGGCCUGCAUGCCUUGUCUCUCGUUAACGCCAGUGGCCAGGUACUUUGGCAAGCGUGUCGAAGUGCCUCGGCUGGCUAUAGCUCCGUUCUCACUUGACAUCCUCAAGUUUGGUUGUAGCAGCUGCACGUCUGACGGCUCGUUGCACCACUGUCUAAGCUGUAUGCCAAUAGUCAUGUAAGUGGGGGUGCUCAUUUGCAUGAAACGUGCUAUCAGAUAUCUUGAUCUGUGCUUACCCUGCAGAUUCUUCAAAAUUGCAACUCAAGUAUAGCAUAUCUUUCUCCGAAUAGGUGGAUAAUUGGAGUUUUUAGACUUGCUGAGGUCAAUAAUCUACCAAAUCUCAGGAUGAAUAUGAAAUUUGACAUUGAGGUUGCCAAUGUUUCUAUUAAGAUUGCCUUGUUGAUUCUAUAUCUUUUGUUGUGUUACAUUGUGUAAGUAUUACUGUUAAUGUUGGUUAUUUUAGGUCCCUGUUUAAGAACCUCAGCAUGGACAUGAAAGAUGUCAAAACAAAUUCAUUUCUUAAAGGCCGAGGAUGUGAAGUUGAGAGAAAUCCACAUUUUUCAAUCAAAGUUGAUGUUGCAUCUCAAACCCAGUAGUUGUAGCAGUCUCUUCAGACAUCAACCCCCCAAUAAACCACAUGGAACUGCAGCCUGAAGUCAAGAACACUUCCUGUGUCGUGAGGCUUCAUACUAUACUGAAUCAGGGCCCGAGGAAGAUACUCGACGAGGGGAAGGAGCAUCUUAAUGAAUAGCAAAGGGUCGUGUGGGUACAUUGAAUCCCGCCUGCCGGAUGGCAUUAAGCAUGCGACAAUGUUGAGCCAGACACACCAUCAUUACCUUCUUUCAUCACUCCAAAG